RNAcentral lists this ribosomal RNA (903 nucleotides) under Ramularia mali. RNAcentral's name for it is "eukaryotic LSU rRNA". It matches the Rfam family "Eukaryotic large subunit ribosomal RNA", at positions 27 to 961 of the family's 3401-position model. Lineage: Eukaryota; Fungi; Ascomycota; Dothideomycetes; Mycosphaerellales; Mycosphaerellaceae. The record is from RNAcentral.
GCUGAACUUAAGCAUAUCAAUAAGCGGAGGAAAAGAAACCAACAGGGAUUGCCCUAGUAACGGCGAGUGAAGCGGCAACAGCUCAAAUUUGAAAUCUGGCGCAAGCCCGAGUUGUAAUUUGUAGAGGAUGCUUCUAGGUAGCGACCGGUCUAAGUUCCUUGGAACAGGACGUCAUAGAGGGUGAGAAUCCCGUAUGUGACUGGCCCGCACCUUCUACGUAGCUCCUUCGACGAGUCGAGUUGUUUGGGAAUGCAGCUCUAAAUGGGAGGUAAAUUUCUUCUAAAGCUAAAUACCGGCCAGAGACCGAUAGCGCACAAGUAGAGUGAUCGAAAGAUGAAAAGCACUUUGGAAAGAGAGUUAAAAAGCACGUGAAAUUGUUGAAAGGGAAGCGCUCACAACCAGACUUCUGGGCGGUGUUCCGCCGGUCUUCUGACCGGUCUACUCACCGUCCCGAGGCCAACAUCAUCUGGGACCGCCGGAUAAGACCUUAGGAAUGUAGCUCCCCUCGGGGAGUGUUAUAGCCUGUGGUGAUGCGGCGCGUCUCGGGUGAGGUCCGCGCUUCGGCAAGGAUGUUGGCGUAAUGGUUGUCAGCGGCCCGUCUUGAAACACGGACCAAGGAGUCUAACAUCUAUGCGAGUGUUCGGGUGUCAAACCCCUACGCGUAAUGAAAGUGAACGGAGGUGGGAAGGGUAACCUGCACCAUCGACCGAUCCUGAUGUCCUCGGAUGGAUUUGAGUAAGAGCAUAGCUGUUGGGACCCGAAAGAUGGUGAACUAUGCCUGAAUAGGGUGAAGCCAGAGGAAACUCUGGUGGAGGCUCGCAGCGGUUCUGACGUGCAAAUCGAUCGUCAAAUUUGGGUAUAGGGGCGAAAGACUAAUCGAACCAUCUAGUAGCUGGUUCCUGC